Dama dama (fallow deer) is the source of this 940-nucleotide long non-coding RNA. RefSeq lists it as uncharacterized. NCBI's taxonomy places the organism in Eukaryota, Metazoa, Chordata, Mammalia, Artiodactyla, Cervidae. The record is from RefSeq and is a predicted model, not a curated record. The transcript is spliced from 5 exons.
CGGAGCGCCAACCCGGGCCGUGGCGCCUUCUUUUCCGCUUCGCCGCGGGCGGAGGAAGAGCUUUCAGGGUCUGUUGGCCGUACGGGCGUGGCGGCAACGCCCGCGGGCACGUCGCCCAGCUCUUCGACGGGAGAAGGCCCCGCGGAGUUAGGUCAUUUUCUUAUUUCUCCCGGGAACCCGACUCCGUGCCCGGGUCUACAGGUCGGCCUCAGGCCCCUCCGGCUUGUGCGUCCCGCCCCCGGGAUCCCCAUCCCGGUGGCUUCGGUCCAUUGCCGGGCACAGUCCAGCGGUCGGCGCGGCCGCGGCCUCCGAGUCAUCCCAGGAGGCCACCUUCCCCUCCCCAACCCGGUUGACGCCGCCUCGAGCUCUCCUCCGUGCCUUCUGCUCAAUCACAUUUUUCCUUAAGGAUAAUAAAGCCUUCCCAGGUGGCGCAGUGGUAAAGAAUCCCUGGGUUGGGAAGAUCCCCUGGAGUAAAAUAUGGCAACCCACUGCAGUAUUCUUCCCUGGAAAAUUCUAUGGACCGAGGAGCCAGGCGGCUUACAGUACGUGGGGUCGUAAACAGUUGAAUAUGACCGAGCAACUAACACACAGAAGCAUAAUAAAUACACAAGAGCCCGGUGCAGCAGAGCCUAUGAGUUGAAGAUGAAGAUCAUUGUGAUAAAUGUUUUCCAAAAACCUGUCAAAGAGGAUGGCUGUGAAAACACUAGGAGGACCGCUGUGCAUGUAACAAGCAGAUGAGUACGUGCAGAUGAAUGUUCAAGUCCUUAGCAGUGGUGCUUAAAAACUCUUCAUUACCUCAAAGGUGUGGCACACAACGUUUUCGAAGGAAAAAUGAAGAGUUGUUCAAGAAGACGUGCAUUAAAGCAAGUGAUAAAAAUUAAAAUUGUAUUUUAAUGUUCAUCUCACAAUAAAUUAUGGAGAAAAAUACAUCUUCAAAUUA